AUUGAACGCUGGCGGCAGGCCUAACACAUGCAAGUCGAGCGGAUGAAGGGAGCUUGCUCCUGGAUUCAGCGGCGGACGGGUGAGUAAUGCCUAGGAAUCUGCCUGGCAGUGGGGGAUAACGUCCGGAAACGGGCGCUAAUACCGCAUACGUCCUGAGGGAGAAAGUGGGGGAUCUUCGGACCUCACGCUAUCAGAUGAGCCUAGGGCGGAUUAGCUAGUUGGUGGGGUAAAGGCCUACCAAGGCGACGAUCCGUAACUGGUCUGAGAGGAUGAUCAGUCACACUGGAACUGAGACACGGUCCAGACUCCUACGGGAGGCAGCAGUGGGGAAUAUUGGACAAUGGGCGAAAGCCUGAUCCAGCAAUGCCGCGUGUGUGAAGAAGGUCUUCGGAUUGUAAAGCACUUUAAGUUGGGAGGAAGGGCAGUAAGUUAAUACCUUGCUGUUUUGACGUUACCAACAGAAUAAGCACCGGCUAACUUCGUG
This 484-nucleotide ribosomal RNA is filed under the name uncultured bacterium. Its description in RNAcentral is "partial 16S ribosomal RNA". It matches the Rfam family "Bacterial small subunit ribosomal RNA", at positions 30 to 507 of the family's 1533-position model. The record is from RNAcentral.